CCUACGGGAGGCAGCAGUGGGGAAUAUUGCACAAUGGGGGGAACCCUGAUGCAGCAAUGCCGCGUGGGUGAAGAAGCACUUCGGUGCGUAAAGCUCUGUCAGCAGGGAAGAAAAUGACAGUACCUGGACAAUAAGCCCCGGCUAACUACGUGCCAGCCGCCGCGGUAAUACGUAGGGGGCAAGCGUUAUCCGGAUUUACUGGGGGGAAAGGGAGCGUAGGCGGCGUUGCAAGUAAGCUGUGAAAACCCGGGGCCCAACCCCGGGAGUGCAUUGGAAACUGCCAUGCUGGAGUGCCGGAGGGGUAGGCGGAAUUCCUGGUGUAGCGGUGAAAUGCGUAGAUAUUAGGAGGAACACCAGGGGCGAAGGCGGCUUACUGGACGGUAACUGACGCUGAGGCUCGAAGGCGUGGGGAGCGAACAGGAUUAGAUACCCGGGUAGUC
This 440-nucleotide ribosomal RNA is filed under the name uncultured bacterium. RNAcentral describes it as "partial 16S ribosomal RNA". It matches the Rfam family "Bacterial small subunit ribosomal RNA", at positions 338 to 795 of the family's 1533-position model. The record is from RNAcentral.